Molecule: ribosomal RNA, 441 nt
Filed under: uncultured bacterium
Lineage: Bacteria
Description: partial 16S ribosomal RNA
Rfam family: Bacterial small subunit ribosomal RNA
Source: RNAcentral
CCUACGGUGGUCAGCAGUGGGGUAUAUUGCACAAUGUGGGGAACCCUGAUGCAGCGACGCCGCGUGGGUGAAGGAGUGCUUCGGCAUGUAAAGCCCUAUCGGCAGGGAAGAAUCAAGACGGUACCUGCCUAAGCAGCCCCGCCUAACUACGUGCCAUCAGCCGCGGUAAGACGUAGGGGGCGAGCGUUAUCCGGAUUCACUGGGUGCAAAGGGAGCGUAGGCGGCCAUGCAAGCCAGGGGUGAAAGCCCGGGGCCAAACCCCGGGACUGCCCUUGGAACUGCAUGGCUGGAGUGCGGGAGGGGCAGGCGGAAGUCCUGGUGUAGCGGGGAAAUGCGUAGAUAUCAGGAGGAACACCGGAGGCGAAGGCGGCCUGCUGGACUGCGACUGACGUUGAGGCUCGAAAGCGUGGGGAGCGAACAGGAUUAGAUACCCCUGUAGUC